Mobula hypostoma (lesser devil ray) is the source of this 6177-nucleotide long non-coding RNA. RefSeq lists it as uncharacterized. The transcript has 3 exons. The record is from RefSeq and is a predicted model, not a curated record. Lineage: Eukaryota; Metazoa; Chordata; Chondrichthyes; Myliobatiformes; Myliobatidae.
GCUCCUAUAUUUCCUGCCCCCAUGGUGGUAAUGAGAAGAGGGCAUGUGAUAAGAUCUUAAGACUAUAAGCCAUAGGAGCAGAAUUGGGUCAUUCUGCCUGUCUUCUGCUCUGCUAGUCCAUCAAGGCCGAUUUAUUAUUUUGCGUAACCCCAUUCUCCUACCUUCUCCUUGUAACCUUUGAUGCUUUUACCAAUCAAGAACCUAUCAACCUCCACUUUAAAUAUACCCAAUGACUUGGUCUCCAAUCUUCCACAGAUUCACCACCCUCUAGCUAAAGAAACUCUUCUUUGUCUCUGGUCUAAAGGGCUGUUCUUCUAUUCUGAGGCUGUGCCCUCUGGUUCACAGAAUCUCCCACUAUUGGAACCAUCCUCUCCACAUCCACUCUAUCUAGACCUUUCAAUGUAUCAUAAGUUUCUGUGAUUGUCAGGGUCCUUAGUCAUUGGUGCUACCUUUUUGAGGCACUGCCCCUUGAAGAUGUCCUCAGUGGUGGGGAGGGUUGUGCCCGUGACUGGACUGGCUGGGUCUAAACCCUCUGCAGCCUCUCACAAUCCUGUGCACUGGGGCUUCCAUACCAGGCUGUGAUAGAACCAGUUAGAAUGCUAUCCACUGUCACUUGUAAGAGUUUUUGGUGACAUGCCAAAUCACAAACUCCACUGCUCUGCUCUCUCUACACCUAUGACCGUGUGGCUAGGCACAGCUUAAAUGCCAUCUAUAAACUUGCUGAUGACACAACUAUUGUUGGCAGAAUUUCAGAUGGUGACGAGGUGGCAUACAUCAACAAGAUAGAUCAGCUGGUUGAGUGGUGUCACAGCAACAACCUUGCACUCAAGGACAGUAAGACCAAGGAAUUGAUUGUGAACUGGAUGACGGAUGCUGACUGACUGGCUGAGUUCCUCUGUCAGUUUGUGAGAUUUCCAUCACCUGCCGCUGCCUGUAAGGAGUUUGUACGAUCUCCCUGUGACCAUGUGGAUUUCCUCCGGGUGCUCCGGUUUCCUCCCACAGUCCAAAGACAUAACGGGGCUGUGGACAAUUCUGAUUUGAUGAAGACGGAUGUGAAAGCACAGAGGAACAUUUGGAAAAAUUUCUGAAACGCUCGACCGCUGCUGUCGUUACUGCGCGGUCGAGAAUCUUUCGGAGGGAAGGCCUCAAAAUCCCCAGCUUUGCCUGCUGUUGGCGACCGAGAAGGGGGUCGAAUUGUUCGGAUAGUGAUGGCACUCAGUACUCGGUGUCGGAGAGCUGAUCAGAGCUCGAAGUUUUCGGAUGACUCAGAGUUGGACCGUGGUUGGGUAUGGCAGGGAGAGUUUUUCUUCCUUCUCUCCGCCUGCGUGAGAUGUGGGACAUUCGAGAGACUUUGAACUUUUACUGUGCUCAUGGACUUCUUCAUCAAGUUAUGGUAUUGUUGCACUGUUGUAACUAUAUAUUAUAAUUAGUGGUUUUGUUAGUCUUUUUUCAGCCUUGGUCUGUCCUGUGUUUUGUGAUAUUACACUGGAGGAAAUAUUGUAUCAUUUCUUAAUGCAUGCAUUUCUAAAUGACAAUAAAAGAGGACUGCGUGUCUUCGUAAUCUAAAGUCUAUUCAAAAAGUGGAGGCAUUUGAGAGAUUGGGACAAUGAAUGAAUGAGAAUUGGAGUGAGUUAGAAUGUGGAUAACGUGAACAAGCUUUAACACUGCGAAACAAUUAGGUUAGACAUUGACACCAGAUAGGUAUUGGGAAUAUUGAUAAUAGGUUAGUUGUCAGAUGUACCAAGAUACAAUGAAAAAUUUUGCUGUGUGUGCCAACCAUAUGGAUCAUUUCAAAAUGCAGGUACAUUGAGGGCAUUCAAAGGGAGCUGCAGUAUCACAAUGCAGAAUAUAAGUGAAUAAAGCCCAAAAGAAGAGUCGUGAGCCACUCAGUUCUUUUGAGAAAAAGCCAGAGAAAUAAUUUUAUUAAUCAAAUUACAGGUUAAGAGCCAGAUGUUAAUCACCACCAGAAGUUUCAGUUAGUUGUUUUUGACAAGCUAAAUAUAUUCAACUUUGUUUGGCUGUUGGUGAUUGUGAUUAUCCUCUGCUUCUCAGAAAUGCUGGCACUAAUUCAUCGUAAUUUACCUUAAUAAGAUGGUAGUUAAUAGAUUAGCUGCAUUUUAUCAAUGAGGCCAGUUGAGUGGUUAUUUAUUUGUGUCAAAAGUACAAACUCUUGAAGUAAAUCUGGAUGAUCAAAAGUAGUAUAAAGGAAAACUGUUAACAAAAAUAGUCUUUCUUCCCCCUGGCAGACUGCUAAUGAAUGUUCCAUUGUUUUACAGUGGAAUGGGGACCUGGAGUGAUUUACCGCAUGAGGUACAUGAGCCUCAUUUACAGUGCUGAAAGCACUUCAUUGUUCAUUAAAACCAUUUUUUUUUCUUGUUGUUAUUGCUCAGAUCAGGGAUAAAAACUUUGCAAUAAGAUCCAUCACUGCAUUAAGAAGAAUCAAAUGCUUCUCUUCGGUAUUCUCGAAUGUUUUAUCAAUAAACAUUGUGAUUGUUACAAUGCUGGUUGUAUCUAGUAUUUGCAGGUUGUUUUGUAUUAAUAAAAUAUAGUGCAAAACAUUGAAUAUGCAAUCAUUCACUAGUAUGAUUUUUUUAUGAUAUGAAUAAAAUAUUGAAGGUUCUUAAGGUUUUUAUGUUAUCAGGCUGAAAUUAAUUCUGGGUAUUAUUUGAUAACUUGAUGAAUACCAUCAAACAGUGUCAAUUUUAUCAAGCAAAUCUAAGCUAAUUGAAUGGUCUUAUCCAGAAGUAUUUAUAUGCUUGCCCAGCAUUGACUCUGGUUCAUAAAUGAGCUUGAUCCCCUCAGCAAUGAAUGAUGCAGCAAUAAUAAACGAGCACAUGGCAAUUUGUUAGACAUAGCAGGCAGUUGUUAUUGUGCCUCUGCUUUGUUGAUCAUUUCAAUAUGUUUAUUGUGAGCACCGUUUUGAGUGAAGUUACAAGAACAAGAUAAAAUCUUUAAACUUGCUAAAUGCAUAUUCUUCACUGACAAUAGAAAAUUACCGUACACAAUUGAUUAACACCUAGAAUUACGUAGCAAAAAUUCCAAGCUUGUUCAAGAGACACUUGGGUACUUUGAUGGGUGUCUGUAAAUUCUUAAGAGGACGAUGGACUGAUUUACUCUGUCUUAUUGAUACCUACUUCUGUGCUUUGUUAAUAACUUACAAAUAUUCUUCUGGGUUUAAAUAACUAGUAUAUUACAAGAACAAUCCUUGUUCUAAACUUUAACAAAUUAUCUGUUGAAGGAAAAAGAGGCAAAAUGUAAUUGGAGGAAAAAAAAGCUUCUUACACGCCCAAUUUAGUUAAUGGUUAGAGCGAACUCCCAGUUUAUUCAAUCUCUUGUAUUAAUGUAUCUUUCCAGUUAAUUGAGCAGUUUAACUGCCAGUAUUCAAGGGUAUUCACUUCGCUCAGUCAAAACUACGUUUUAGAAAUGGGUUUGAAAAUAUUACUGUCUUCACUAAGUUUUUGGCGAGCCUUUCGUCCCUUCACAAAUUUGAUGAUGUAAAACAUGCCAAAGCACAUUGUUAUGCAAGUUGUGCACGGUAGUCGGAUGGUAAAAAUUUCUUGUUGGACUUGUUCGUUCCCUGUUGCUCUCAAAGCAGAGGAUAGUUUGAAGAUUGAUGUUUUAACAUGGUCAUAUACUUAAAAUGUGAACUCAUCUGUUUCUGAUGAUGUCUUCAUGGACUUGUCCAAAGUUCCAUAGCUGUUGCUAAUGUUGGAACCAGGAAAACAUCUAUUGGAAAUCAGCAGGGUAGGUAAUCCUUUUAUGCAGGGUGAGGAUUUAUUGGGGUGACUGCAGGUAAAAUUCAGUUGGUGUUCACCUAAGAGGAUAUUGGACAGGAUUGCACUUGACUGAUUCUUGGGACCACGCUUUUUUUCUCCACAUCCUGGACAGGCCUGAAAGGCCUGGACAGAGUGGGCAAGAGGAGGAUGGAAGAAGAUUGUCCAGGAUCCAAAGAAAUAGCUUUAGAAUAAAGGGGCAUUUCUUUAAAAGAGGAGGAAUUUCUACAGCCAGAGGGAAGCAAACCUGUGGAAUUUGCUGCCACAGAGGACCGUGGUGGCCAAGUUUUAGGAUGUAUAUAAAGCAGAGAUUGAUACGUUUUGAUUAGAAAGAAGGUUAAGGGUUAUGGGGAGAAAACAGGAGGAUGGGGUUGAAAAGAAUGAGCCAUGAUUGAAUGGUGGAGAAAACUCGAUGGGCCAAACGUUUUAAUUCUGCUCCUAUAUCUUAUGGCCAUCCUAUCAGCUGAAUGAACCAUAUGAACUCUGAGGCAACAAAUUAGAUCAAGCUUGCGCUUCUGUCGAGGUGGAGUGGGCUGUGAGCCCCAACCAGGCCUCAGGCAGUGGAUUCUGAGGCCUGCUCCGUAACAGUCUUUGACAGCCUUUUCUUGUCAAAGGCUUUGUGAAACUAUUUCACAUUUCCCUAUUAAUCAGAAUAAUUAAGAAUUUCAAAUAAAUAUAAAAAGAUAAAAAUCGUUAACACUAAAAAUAAAAAGAAACAGACCAUUAGCUUUUUAAUUCAAAGUUAAUGACCCUCUUCAGUGGAAUGUUGUGCUUCUUAUGUAACCGUCUAUGGCAUAAAGUGACAGACAAGAUAUGAGCUACAUCUUGCCCCUCAGGUUAGUACUUAUGUGCUCAAUCUUUGACUUAGUGCAGCUGAAACCCAUCCAUGCCCCUGACUGCCAGUGCAAGUGCACAAAUGAGAGAGCAGUUGCCAGUGGAAGAGGUGAUUAUUGAUACCAGGUUCAGCUUCAUGUAUUUAUUGCACACACAGAAACCUGCGGUGAAAUGUGCCACUUGCCAAUGCCACCAACACCAACCAAGGACGUGCUGGACGGCAGCCUGCAGGUGUUGCCGCACGUUGGGGCACCAACAUAGCAUGCCCGCCAUGUUAACAGAACAGCACAUGCAACAACAGCAAAAGAAACCCGUUCCCCACCCCCCCCCAUGCACGUGUGCUCAGCCCUCUAGCCCCGGGACAGGCUGUCUCCGGGCCUCUAACAGAUGGUGAAAUCUGGAGUAACACACAACCUGCAGGAGGAACUCAGCAGCAUCCAUGGGAGGAACGGAAUUGUCACGUUUUGGGUCUAACCCUGCCUCAGGACGGAUAGGAAGGAAAAUUUCUUCGAAGUCAGCGUACCGUGAAGAGACUUUGCGGUGGAGUAGUAAGCUGGAGACACAGGGGCCUGUAGGUGUUGGAUUCUGUGGCAGCAAACAAUCCGCUGGCAGAAAUCAGAAGACUGAGCAGCAGCCAUUGGAGGAAAGGCUUGGGAAGUGUUUUUUGGCCUUUAGAGCAAAAGAGGUUGUAGUUUUAAAAAAAUGGGGAGGUUUACUAACAGUUGUACUGAGUAAUGAUUAGGCCACACCUAGAAUUCUGAGUGCGGUUUUGGCCCCCUCCCCUAUAAAGGAUACACUAGCGUUGGGGGCAGUUAAAAUAUGAUUCACCAGGAUCUCGAACAUAGAACAUUACAGCAUAGUACAGGCCCUUCGGUUCACGAUGUUGUGCUGACAUUUUAAACUAGUCUAGGAAUUUCUGGGAUGAGAAGGGUGUCCCAGCAAGAGAGACUACAUGAUUUGAGCCUGUAUCCUUUGCAAGAAUGAGAGGUGAUUUUACUGAAACGUGUAAGAUCCGAAGGAGGUUUGACAGGGUAGUUAAUGAGAUAUUUUCACUAGCGGGAGUGUGAUGAACAAGGAGAUAUGAUUAGGGGCUGGCCAUUUAAAACUGAGGUACGGUAGAUAAAUAUUCCAUUGAUUGAAGAGUCUAAGGACAUGGAGAAAUGGCACAGAAAAGGAGGUGAUACCAUUCUUGAUCAGCCAUGAUCACGGUGACUGACAGGACAGGCCUGAGGGACCUGGUGGCCUACUCCUGGUCCUGCUUUCUUGCUUUCUGCUAGAGGAGGUGGGAAUAUGGGGUGAGAAGGUGAGAAAUAGCUGUAAUAUCAGUAGGAACCCAUUAGCCAUUAGCAAGAGUUGCCUGCUUUCUUGAGCCAUGUAAUCCGAGCUGUUCCGUCAUCCAGCUCGUCAAGUGAACAAAGCAAUCCUAUAAUAGUACUUGACCUACAAACCCAUUCCAGUCCUGACCUGAAUUCUCCUGGUUAAAGUUUACCCCUCAACAAAAGUCUGAAAUGGAAGACUAGUUUACUGCAAUCAGAAACAAGAGAAAAUCUGCAAAUGCUGGGAAUCCAAG